This 594-nucleotide ribosomal RNA is filed under the name Triticum aestivum (bread wheat). Its description in RNAcentral is "partial small subunit ribosomal RNA". Lineage: Eukaryota; Viridiplantae; Streptophyta; Magnoliopsida; Poales; Poaceae. The record is from RNAcentral.
AUGUCUAAUGGGCAGAUCCUUAAGGAUAUCGUAUUCUACAAUGGGAGAUUGUAUGGCCUCACUGCCUCGCAGGACCUGAUCAGAUUCGAUAUAGGCGUGAACAAAUAUGGCAGGCCUCUGGUCGCUGUUGACGUCGAGUUGCGUAUCCAGAUUGAUAAUGAACCUUUAAUAUGGUCAACUAACAUUGUUGAGCUGCAAGGCAAGCUAGCUAUGGUGCUAGGGAAAUUGCCAUGGUACGACACCAACCACGAGCCUUUCUUCAAGGUUUUUGUGCUAGCCGAUGAAUCGACUUCUAAGUGGGAGGAGGUAACGAGUUUGGGUGAUUGUGCCUUAUUUUUGGGGAAAAUGUCCAGGGCGAUUGACAUGCCGGCAGUUGGGCUUGGCGGGGUGCAGAGAAACCACAUCUACGCUGAUGAUAUGACAUACUUGACAAGUUUGGAUGGCCACGGUAAUCGCGUAUAUCCUGUGAAGGACGAAAGUAGUGACAAUGUCAUGCAGAGGGUCAAAUCAGCAGGAUCUUAUGUAGCAGCUCGUGCGCAAACUGGCAUUUGGGUACUCCCUCUGGGCAUAUGGGUACUCCCUCCUUAUUUCUAG